Molecule: ribosomal RNA, 324 nt
Filed under: uncultured eukaryote
Lineage: Eukaryota
Description: partial 18S ribosomal RNA
Rfam family: Eukaryotic small subunit ribosomal RNA
Source: RNAcentral
CCCUUAGAUGUUCUGGGCUGCACGCGCGCUACACUGAAGCUAUCAACACGUUUUCCCUCCCUGAGAAGGGCGGGUAACCUUUUGAAUCAGCUUCGUGGUAGGGAUCGGGGCUUGCAAUUGUUCCCCGUGAACCAGGAAUUCCUAGUAGACGCGAGUCAUAAGCUCGCAUCGAUUAAGUCCCUGCCCUUUGUACACACCGCCCGUCGCUACUACCGAUUGAACGUUUUAGUGAGGCAUUUGGACCGACGCAUCUCAGUUUAACCGCUGGUUUGUAUUGGAAAGACUUCCAAACUUGAGCGUUUAGAGGAAGUAAAAGUCGUAACA